UACGAAGGGGGCUAGCGUUGCUCGGAAUCACUGGGCGUAAAGGGUGCGUAGGCGGGUCUUUAAGUCAGGGGUGAAAUCCUGGAGCUCAACUCCAGAACUGCCUUUGAUACUGAAGAUCUUGAGUCCGGGAGAGGUGAGUGGAACUGCGAGUGUAGAGGUGAAAUUCGUAGAUAUUCGCAAGAACACCAGUGGCGAAGGCGGCUCACUGGCCCGGUACUGACGCUAAGGCACGAAAGCGUGGGGAGCAAACAGG
This 253-nucleotide ribosomal RNA is filed under the name uncultured bacterium. Its description in RNAcentral is "partial 16S ribosomal RNA". It matches the Rfam family "Bacterial small subunit ribosomal RNA", at positions 524 to 776 of the family's 1533-position model. The record is from RNAcentral.